AGCCGACCUGGAGAGAGGGUAAUCGGCCACCAUUGGGACUGAGACACGUCCCAAACUCCUACGGGAGGCAGCAGUAGGGAAUCUUCCACCAUGGACGAAAGUCUGAUGAAGCAACGCCCGCCUGAGUGAAGAAGGGUUUCGGCUCGUAAAACUCUGUUGUUAAAGAAGAACAUAUCUGAGAGUAACUGUUCAGGUAUUGACGGUAUUUAACCAGAAAGCCACGGCUAACUACGUGCCAGCAGCCGCGGUAAUACGUAGGUGGCAAGCGUUGUCCGGAUUUAUUGGGCGUAAAGCGAGCGCAGGCGGUUUUUUAAGUCUGAUGUGAAAGCCUUCGGCUCAACCGAAGAAGUGCAUCGGAAACUGGGAAACUUGAGUGCAGAAGAGGACAGUGGAACUCCAUGUGUAGCGGUGAAAUGCGUAGAUAUAUGGAAGAACACCAGUGGCGAAGGCGGCUGUCUGGUCUGUAACUGACGCUGAGGCUCGAAAGUAUGGGUAGCAAACAGGAUUAGAUACCCUGGUAGUCCAUACCGUAAACGAUGAAUGCUAAGUGUUGGAGGGUUUCCGCCCUUCAGUGCUGCAGCUAACGCAUUAAGCAUUCCGCCUGGGGAGUACGGCCGCAAGGCUGAAACUCAAAGGAAUUGACGGGGGCCCGCACAAGCGGUGGAGCAUGUGGUUUAAUUCGAAGCUACGCGAAGAACCUUACCAGGUCUUGACAUACUAUGCAAAUCUAAGAGAUUAGACGUUCCCUUCGGGGACAUGGAUACAGGUGGUGCAUGGUUGUCGUCAGCUCGUGUCGUGAGAUGUUGGGUUAAGUCCCGCAACGAGCGCAACCCUUAUUAUCAGUUGCCAGCAUUAAGUUGGGCACCUCUGGUGAGAACUGCCGGUGACAAACCGGAGGAAGGUGGGGAUGACGUCAAAUCAUCAUGCCCCUUAUGACCUGGGCUACACACGUGCUACAAUGGAUUGGUACAACGAGUGUGCG
RNAcentral lists this ribosomal RNA (982 nucleotides) under Lactiplantibacillus plantarum. RNAcentral's name for it is "bacterial SSU rRNA". It matches the Rfam family "Bacterial small subunit ribosomal RNA", at positions 284 to 1251 of the family's 1533-position model. The record is from RNAcentral. Lineage: Bacteria; Bacillati; Bacillota; Bacilli; Lactobacillales; Lactobacillaceae.